Molecule: transfer RNA, 63 nt
Filed under: Acinetobacter baumannii
Lineage: Bacteria; Pseudomonadati; Pseudomonadota; Gammaproteobacteria; Moraxellales; Moraxellaceae
Description: tRNA-OTHER
Rfam family: tRNA
About the family: Transfer RNA (tRNA) molecules are approximately 80 nucleotides in length. Their secondary structure includes four short double-helical elements and three loops (D, anti-codon, and T loops).
Source: RNAcentral
GGGUCUGUAGCUCAGUUGGUUAGAGCACACGCUUGACAAGUUCAAGUCUUGUCAGACCCACCA